RNAcentral lists this unclassified non-coding RNA (218 nucleotides) under rhizosphere metagenome. RNAcentral describes it as "partial ribosomal RNA internal transcribed spacer region". The record is from RNAcentral.
GUUGGUGAACCAGCGGAGGGAUCAUUAAAGAGUUGCAAAACUCCCAAACCAUUGUGAACAUACCUUCAACGUUGCUUCGGCGGGUUGGCCCCGGUCUCCGGGGUCCCCGGCCCUACUCGGGCGCCCGCCGAAGACACCCUCGAACUCUGUCUGAAGAUUGUAGUCUGAGUGAAAAUAUAAAUUAUUUAAAACUUUCAACAACGGAUCUCUUGGUUCCG